This 1346-nucleotide ribosomal RNA is filed under the name Triticum aestivum (bread wheat). RNAcentral describes it as "partial small subunit ribosomal RNA". The record is from RNAcentral. Lineage: Eukaryota; Viridiplantae; Streptophyta; Magnoliopsida; Poales; Poaceae.
CCCAAAUGACCGCCGGCUCCCGACGGAGGCCCCCGCCGCCCCGCCGCCGCGCCUCCCCCAUGGCGCCUUCCCCCCUCUCCGUAUCCUCCACCAACGCCUCCCCGCCGCCGCGCCGCCUCCGCCGCACGGCCGUCGCGGCCGCCGGCGCCGCGCUCGCGACGCUCCUCCUCCUCGCCGCGGCCGCCGCCGUCUGGCGCCCGGGCUACCUCCCCGCCGCGCUCCUCCGCCGGCCGCCGCCCGCCGCCGCCAGGUUCUACUCCUUCGACCUGGUCCGCGAGUACCCGCACGACCCCAAGGCCUUCACCCAGGGCCUCCUGUACGGGGGGAACGACACUCUCUUCGAGUCCACCGGUCUCUAUCACCAGUCGUCGGUCCGAAAGGUUGAUCUUCAAACUGGGAAAGUUUUAGAGCAGCACCGAAUGGAUGGAUGGAUGUUUGGAGAAGGCCUUACACUUCUAGGCGACAGAUUGUUUCAAGUUACUUGGCGGAAGAAUGAUGGAUUCAUAUACGACCGGCAUAACUUUAGCAUACGUGAGAGUUUUACCCAUAAAAUGCGUGACGGGUGGGGGCUAGCCACCGAUGGAAAAAUUCUAUUUGGCAGUGAUGGCACCUCAAGUUUGUACCAGCUGGAUCCAGAAUCACUUGAAGUGACGAAGACAGUAACAGUGAAAUAUCAAGACAAUGCUGUUUCCUUUAUUAAUGAACUGGAGUAUAUAAAUGGUGAAGUAUGGGCAAAUGUCUGGCAGACAGAUUGCAUAGCUAGAGUUUCCCAUGAGGAUGGCCAAGUGGCGAGCUGGAUCUUUCUUCAUGAGCUUAGGCAGCAAUUGUGGGAUUCUGGCAACACGGCCAUUGAUGUUCUAAACGGUAUAGCUUGGGACGAAGAAAAGAACAGAUUGUUUGUGACCGGGAAAUUAUGGCCAAAGCUUUAUGAGAUCAAGCUUCGCCCAGUCGACGGGCCACCGAACGGGUCUGUGGAGAGGCUGUGCCCAAGGGCAAGCUUUUAUUGAUGACAAGUGUCGACGAGGAUGCCGAGGCAAGAUUUUUUUUUUGCCUCGGCGAGGAUAUGUAAAUGUAUUAUGCCUCCUGUGGUCGAUUCGAGGCGAUCGGCAGUUGGAAGAUAGAUUAAUUUUUUUUGCUGUGACAUCGUAGUGGCGUGGCGGGAGAUAGCUGCUCGUCAGUUUCAUGUUGGGGCCCGUGUAGUUGUGUGUGUGAUCAUGUAUGUGUUUUCCCCUGAUGUAAAAGUUGUAAAGAUGAUGCUUCUGAUGUGAAGAAAUCUAAUACGAAAAGAACAAUUCAUUCGUGACAGCCCAAAUGUGUUCCAUGUGUCCUGUAAAGACGGUUCCUUG